This 1924-nucleotide long non-coding RNA is filed under the name Capsicum annuum. RNAcentral describes it as "long non-coding RNA (CANN_LNC005632)". The record is from RNAcentral. Lineage: Eukaryota; Viridiplantae; Streptophyta; Magnoliopsida; Solanales; Solanaceae.
UCGAAGCUCGUUCAACAAUUUCUGCUCGUUCCAUUUUAACUGCUUAUACAUUUCAUAAAAGUGAUGAGACGAGGCAAUGAAGUUGGAUUUGACCUUGGAGCUCUAGAAAUGCUCAAAAUUGAGGUAGUUCCUUAACCCUUUGUUCUUAACAUGUGUAUUACCUAUCAAUUUUUGCAUAUUUGGGAAGUUUAUAAAUGAUCUCUAUGUAUAUUAUUUUACAGGUAUGUUUUUUCUCUUGCAAAUAAAUAUUUGUAUCUUUUUAUUUUGUGUAUCUUCUAUAUACUUAUCAAUUAUUACAAAAAAAUAUAUCAAAAAAUAAACUUUGACAUAAAGAAUAUUAAAAAAAUACCAUUUUUCUUUUUGAAUAAAUAGUAAUUAUAUUACCUUAAAGGGUAAUUUUAGAAUUUAGUAAGCUUCAAUCUGUGUACCAUAUUACAACAAGAUAAUGACAGCUAAUAUUCAAAAGAGAUAAGCUAAUAUGCAAAAGAGAUAAGAUUGUUGUAAUUCACUAACGAAACAAAAGUCAAAAGGGGUAUAUACUUUCAAACUUUAAAUUCGUAAAUCCGUUGUAGUUGGUGCUUGAUCGACUUAGAGAGAAAACAUAGUUUAUUUUUUUGAAAACCGUUGUCUAAGAGAGAUAAUUUGAUCUUUUUCUAAUGUAUGUCUACUUAGAUGGAAACAUAAUCUUAUUCAGAUUUUAUUACUACAGGGGAGUCAAAUAUUGACAAGAAAUUAGGAAAAAGAAAUUGUUGAAAUAAAAAAAAAAUUGGUAGCAAAGCUGUCACUCAUUGCAACAUUAUCUAGAGCUUACCAUAGCAAAAUUGGAAGACACAUAAAUGAAGGGGGAAGAUUCUAUCAUGAGUAACCUAUAAAUAUACUUCAUAGUUGGUAACUCUAUCAUUUCUUACCUUACAUAAAAAGUUUGUCAUUCAUUCUUCGAAUAUGCAUAAUGCAAAUUUCCCCCCUUCAACUUUAAUACCUUCUCCUGUACUACUUCAUUGCCCUAUAUGCUAUGGAAUAUUUCAUACUCAUUUUGAAUUCAUGGAUCAUGUACAAGUUACUCACCCAUCACUGUCUGAGAAAACAACCAUAUUAGAUUCUCCUGUAUAUAUGCAUCCUGCAUUGUUUUGCCACGCAAUCAGCCAUCAACUCAACCUGUUGUCUCACAACAUAUGAGUUUGCAAGGAAAUAAUAGAGUUGUUGUCCAACCAACAUCUUCGAAUCGUAAUGAGCCUAUCAGAUGGGGUAGAGCACCACCAAUUGAUAGGCAACACUUGGCAAGCAGAAAUAGAAUUGUACCAUCUAGAAGAGGCAGAACUCAACCAUUCAAUAGGCAACAAACGGCAAGAAGGAUCACAGUUGGAGGUUCAAAUUCAACCGUUGCAGAUUUAACUAUAGCUAUUGCUAAUUUUACAAGACCAUUGAUCAAUCACUCAAAUGUUUCGACUUCAUCAAAUGCAGAUGAAUUAGUUAACAUAGCUGAAGAACAAAUGAAUUGGACCUAAACUUGGAGCUUUAAUUAGAGAAAAAAUUAUGUGGAUCAUCUUUAUAAGGGGAUGUCUAUAAAUGUGCUGAGUUUGAAGUCGUGUUUUUUUUAGUUCUGCUACUUUUUUAUAUGUUUGUCUGACUGUGGGGUGUCUUAAAAGUGGAUUCUGUCAUUUUAUUUUAAAUUUAAUUUUUGUCAGGUGUGGUGAGCGGGUCUAGAAUUGUGCUUUUAUUGGAGUCUGUUGUUUUAUUUACAUGUUCAAUUUUGUCGUGAUUUAAAUAAUACAAUCCAUUUAUUUUUGCGGGGUGUCUUAAAAGUAGAUUCUGUCGUUUUAUUUUAAAUUUGAUUUUUUGUCAGGCGUGGUGUGCGUGUCUAGAAUUGUGCUUUUAUUGGAGUCUGUUGUUUUAUUUACUUGUUCAAUUUUGUCGUGAUUUAAAU